This 1863-nucleotide long non-coding RNA is filed under the name Canis lupus familiaris (dog). RNAcentral's name for it is "lncRNA (ENSCAFG00030002595.1)". Lineage: Eukaryota; Metazoa; Chordata; Mammalia; Carnivora; Canidae. The record is from RNAcentral.
AUGCUCCGCUCCCUCCCGGGGCGCCCGGGCCGCGGCCGAGCGGAUGUGCGGCGGGCCCGGGCGGCGGCGGCGGCGGCGGCGGGGGCGGGGGCGGGGCGGCGCUCCGGGGCCGCGGGGCAGGGCCGUCCCAGCCCGACCGGGAUCUCCGCCGAGCAGGAAAAAAAAAAAAAAAAAGCAAAAAAAAAACUUUUCACUCGUGACACCGCCCGGAAUCACGGCGCGCAAGUGCGUCCCCGCGGCGGCGGGCCCGGGCCGGGGGCCGGGGGCCGGGGGGGGCAGGGGGGCGCGGGGGGCGCGGGGCGCGGGGUCCCGGCCGCGCUAGGCCUCCGGCUCCGGGUUAUUGUCUCGACAGCGCCCGCCGCGCCCUCCGCCCGCCGCCGCCCCGGGGCCGCCGCCGAGGGGCCGGGCGAGCUCGCGGGCGGCCCCCUCCCCGCCCCGCCCCUCCCGUCCCCGGCCGCCGUCCGUCCGUCCGUCCGUCCCUCCGUCCGUCCCUCUCGGCGCCGCGGCGGGCGGGCCCUCGAGCCGCGCUCUCCUCCCUCUCCCGGCUUCCCGCCGCCGGCCCCUCGCUCCCCGGCUCGCGCUUCCUCCGGGCGGCCGCGGCGGGGGCGCCCCCGGGCGGCGCGGGGGGCCGCGGGGGGCGGGGGGGCGGGGCGCGGGGGUCCUCUCGGGCUCGCGGGGCCGCGGCGGGGGCCGAGGCUGCGUCCCGCGCCGCCGCGCCACCUUCGCUCGGGCUGGCGAGCCUGCGAGGGGCGGGAGGGGCGGGAGGGGCGGGGAGGGGGAGGGAGGGAGGGAGAGAAAGGAGGAGCAGGGAGCCGGGCGGAGGGGAGUGCCGGCCUCGCAGGCCGCGCGGCAGCAGCAGCGCCACCGCCACCGCCCCGGCGGGCAGGGGGAGAGACUGCGCGCGGCGGGGCAGGGGCGGGGCGGGGCGGGGCGGGGCGCCUCCCGCGGGCUUCGCCCCCCCGCCCACGGCCGGGCAGGAGGCCUGCGCGAGCCAGUGCCGGCGCGCGGGGGCGGCGGGGGCGGAGGCGGGGGCGGGGGCGGCGGGGGCGCGCGGGGGGCGCGGGGGAGGGCCCGGCGGCAGGGCUGCGCGCGCGAGGCCCAGCUGGGCCGGGACCCCAGCUCCUCCGCGCAGCCGGGGCGCCGAGCCCCCCGCCCUCCCAGCCGCCUGGGCCCCGGCGCACGACGGCCCCGGGGGCGCGGGGUUCAGGUCCAGCCCCGCUCGGCGGGCUGCAGGUAGCCCCGCGCGGCCCUCCCACUUCCUCUAAGGGCUCGUCGCGCUGCAGGAAACCGCAGCGGCGGCCGGGGCAGCUUCCCACGCCGGCCCCUCCGGCUCGGGGGCUCCUCCGAGUCUCAGCCUCGCACGCGCGAGGAGACAAAGCUGGCGCUGGGGUGGGGGGAGGGGGGACGGCCCGCGAAACGGCCUCAGGAUCGUGCCUUUGUUCCGGGGAGCGCCCCCGGCCCCCCGGCCCCCCGGCCCCCGGCCCCCGGCCCCGGCGCCGCAGCCCUGCACCUCGCCGCGCGGGCCGCGGUCUUCCAGCCUGGCACGGUUUGCGUUUACUGCGGAGCGAGACUCCUAAGCGUUCCACCAACACAUAUGGCAGAGAGCGCUGCGACCAUAACAUUGCACGGUUUUUUGCAGUCACUGCCUUAAAUACGUUAACAGACAGGACGGCCUUGUUCGGGAGCAGGAGCGUAAGAGACGCGGAACAAACCGUUCCCCGCCCCCAGCCUCCGCGGCGCGGAACCCUGCCGGGGCGCCGAGGAGCCGCUGGGUCCCCCACGCCUUUGCUUCAGUCCUUCCGUCUGUGUUCCAGAGAUAAUCAUUUAUUGCCAAGUUUGAGUAAAGAACCGUAUGCCCUAUAG